Molecule: ribosomal RNA, 468 nt
Filed under: uncultured bacterium
Lineage: Bacteria
Description: partial 16S ribosomal RNA
Rfam family: Bacterial small subunit ribosomal RNA
Source: RNAcentral
GACGAACGCUGGCGGCGUGCUUAACACAUGCAAGUCGAACGGUGAGGCCCUACUUGUGUGGUUUGCUCGAGUGGCAAACGGGUUAGUAACCCGUGGGUAACCUGCCCUGUACGUUGGGAUAACUUCAGGAAACGAGAGCUAAUACCAGAUGGGAGCUCCUGCUGCUAGGUUGGUGUUGGAACGUUUCAUCGGGUGGGGAUGUACUCGCGUCUUAUCAGAUUGCGGGUGGGGUAGUGGCUUAGCAAGGCUUUGACCGGUAGCCGGCCUGAGAGGGUGACCGGAAACACUGGGAUUGAGCUACGGCCCAGACCCAUCCGGGAGGCAGGAGUGCGGAAUAGUGUACUAUGGGAGGAAGCCUGAUGCAGCACCGCCGCGUGGGGGAUGACGGCAAUCGGGUUGUAACCCGCUUUCGCCUGUGACGAAGCGUGAGUGACGGUAAUGGGUAAAGAAGCACCGGCUAACUACGUG